RNAcentral lists this ribosomal RNA (496 nucleotides) under uncultured bacterium. RNAcentral's name for it is "bacterial SSU rRNA". It matches the Rfam family "Bacterial small subunit ribosomal RNA", at positions 18 to 507 of the family's 1533-position model. The record is from RNAcentral.
CCUGGCUCAGAUUGAACGCUGGCGGCGUGCUUAACACAUGCAAGUCGAGCGGCAGCGCGGGAGCAAUCCUGGCGGCGAGCGGCGAACGGGUGAGUAAUGCUUCGGAAUCUGCCCUUCAGUGGGGAAUAACCAGUCGAAAGACUGGCUAAUACCGCAUACGAACUGAGGUUGAAAGCAGGGGAUCGCAAGACCUUGCGCUGAUGGAUGAGCCGAAGUCGGAUUAGCUAGUUGGUAGGGUAACGGCCUACCAAGGCGAUGAUCGGUAGCUGGUCUGAGAGGAUGAUCAGCCACACUGGGACUGAGACACGGCCCAGACUCCUACGGGAGGCAGCAGGUGGGGUAAUUUUGGACAAUGGGGGCAACCCUGAUCCAGCCAUUCCGCGUGAGUGAAGAAGGCCUUCGGGUUGUAAAGCUCUUUUGUCCGGAGCGAAACGGGCGGCCCUAAUACGGUCGUCUACUGACGGUACCGGAAGAAUAAGCACCGGCUAACUACGUG